Molecule: long non-coding RNA, 2379 nt
Filed under: Zea mays
Lineage: Eukaryota; Viridiplantae; Streptophyta; Magnoliopsida; Poales; Poaceae
Description: long non-coding RNA (ZMAY_LNC001447)
Source: RNAcentral
AGGUCGCUGAUCUUCAGGAGGCCAUCCAUGCCAGGAGUAAGUGGAUUCCCUCAUUCCCUGCUUAAAUUUCGCCACUCGCUUUUGCUCUCUGCAGUUCCUGUGUUCGACCAUUCGUGUGUUGCGAUUGCGACAGAGAAACAUGCGUGUUCUGGAGUAAAGAACCGAACACAAGGGAGUGUUUUACAGUGUGCAGUGUGCCAGUGUCAUUCAGCAAGCGGGAAUCCGUUGCCGCUUUUUUUUUCAUUGCACUAGUAAACGACGUUUGCAUGUGUCAUGUGAGAGUAAGUAGUUGUUGCUGAAAAGGCAGGACAUCGAUUCAGACCUGCUCUGCUAACAGUUUCGUUCUUCAUCCUUCCAGAGCCCAUGUUUGUACUAGAAACUGUUAUAUACGUCCUGCCCAUAUAAUUAGAAACCUUGCUAGCAAAUUCCAAACUUUAGUGCUUUGCAUGGCCACUGAUGCCGCAGGUUUACCCUGCUCUUUCUGAAUUCCAUGUGCGUGCUAAAGGGCCGCGAUUAGUGCCAGUGGGUGUGGUAUGCAGCUGCUGUAUUUUUUGUCCUCCUCCGGUUCGUUUAAGUCUCAGUCUCGACAUGAAAGUAGGAAAAGGGAGGGAAGCUGCUGCAGAUACAAGAUGCUUUUAGGCUACCAUUCAUAGGGUUGAGCAGGCUAACAUAGCGAAAUACAGUUGUCGGACAUGAGUUGUAAAGAAUAUUUAAUAAAUACUAAGGGAGAGAUUAGUUAGAUGGGAACAAGAAGUAUAGUUGAGCAGUAUUUCAAAGUUGUCUCUGGGACAUGUUAUUGGCUUUUCAACCUUACUUGCAAAUAGCAUCCGUACUGCAUUCAGUCAACGUUUGUUACAUUAUUACGGUUUAAUUCAAAGUAGGUAAGCGUGAUUAUUUUUUUUUUGUCAAAAGCACAUCCAAACCGAAAAGUAUGUACUACAGUUUGCGCGAAUACUCUCCUUAAUGUCUGUCUCAGGGAUAAAUAUUGUUCGAACUUUCUUGCUUGAUGGAACCCGAAACUGUUUCUAGAAUCUGCAUUCCUUCGAUAUAUUUCAAGCUCCAAGUGCCGUUGACUAUGCUAAUGCUGUGUCUCCAGAGUCUUACACAUUUUUAUCUCCUAUCACAUUCUCUAUUUCAAAUUUCACUUUGUACUCACAUUUUAGCAGCAUAUGUGAUGAAAAUUUAAGAGGUGCCUUAUGCGUGCCUUAUGCCCUUACGCCAUUUAUUGUCACAUCCACAGGCACCGGCCUUCUGUGUACACUCUGCAGAUUAGCAGAUCAGCAUGCUAGUCUAUUUACUUCCCAUAAUGAGGUGGAACGCACAAGCAGUUAUUGUUCAUGUUGGACCGACCGCUCAAGAGGGUGGGUUUUGCAGGCAUGUUCAUGCUCCCAUGUGCUUGGGUGAGACUUGAAAGUAUCUCAUAAUGUAUGGGUUGGUCAUGAAUUAUUAUUAUUAUUAUUUUUUAUUUUUUUUGCAUCACAUGCUAGCAACAUGGAUUGCUCUGCCCCUCAACUUAUUGCUACGUGGCGACCUGGUGGUGUGGUGCUCUGCCCUCAACUUUUAGACCUGCAGCAUAGGGCUAAUUUACCUCCAGAUAUUGGCCAAAAUGUGUUGGAAUAGCAAACACUUCCUAAACUGGCAUGCUGAGUUUGCAGCUUGUUUUUACAUAUCCUAAGGACUAGUUUAGGCUCCAAUCCCCUCCGGUUCUGUGGCUCCCAAACUAGCCUUAAACUAGCUGAAUGAUGCGCACGGAAUAUGUGGGCUGACAAGUAAGAACUGAUAGUCUUUGAAAGUGGAGCUAGUAGCAAAGCUAAUUGUAGCAUCUUUUACUACUUGAUGCGAACUAAUGCUACUCUAACUUUGUGAGCUGACAAGUAAGAAAUGAUAGUACGCCGGAAUAGGUGGGCUGACAAGUAAGAAAUGAUAGUCUUUGAAAGUGUGGAGCUAGUAGCAAAGCUAAUUGCAGCAUCUUUUACUACUUGAUGCGAACUAAUGCUGCUCUAACUUUGUGGUUGUGCCACUAGUUGGUACUAAUAUUGGGAAUUCUAUUAGAAUUCGCAUCUACUAGAAAUGUUCUGUGUUGAUCUGAAUGGACGACCAUGUCUGGGUUGGAUGGAAAUAUUGUUUUUUUUCUUCUUCUUCUUCCAUAGAUUCGUUCAGUUUUCUGCUAGUUUUGUUUUUUCUCCCGUCACAUUUUCCUUCCCUGCAGGCUGCAGUGGAGGAUGUACAGCUUUUGUCCUCAUGUGUGUCAUCUGCUAACCCGAUUGUCUCUCCGCCACCAAUGCAGCUAAUUAAGAAGUACGUACUAUCCUUCAAGGCAGCGGCCGACCCUCCCUCUUGAAACCUGGGAAAGCCGGGAGGCCAGUGGUCCUCAGCCCG